UGUAUUCACUACUGUAAGUCGCUCUGGAUAAGAGCAUCUGCUAAAUGACUCAAA
Salmo salar (Atlantic salmon) is the source of this 54-nucleotide non-coding RNA. NCBI's taxonomy places the organism in Eukaryota, Metazoa, Chordata, Actinopteri, Salmoniformes, Salmonidae. The record is from Rfam.